GUUAAUGUAGCUUAACAAUAAAGCAAAGCACUGAAAAUGCUUAGAUGAGUUUAUGAACUCCAUGAACA
Molecule: transfer RNA, 68 nt
Filed under: Macrotus waterhousii (Waterhouse's leaf-nosed bat)
Lineage: Eukaryota; Metazoa; Chordata; Mammalia; Chiroptera; Phyllostomidae
Description: tRNA-Phe
Rfam family: tRNA
About the family: Transfer RNA (tRNA) molecules are approximately 80 nucleotides in length. Their secondary structure includes four short double-helical elements and three loops (D, anti-codon, and T loops).
Source: RNAcentral